RNAcentral lists this ribosomal RNA (253 nucleotides) under uncultured bacterium. RNAcentral describes it as "partial 16S ribosomal RNA". It matches the Rfam family "Bacterial small subunit ribosomal RNA", at positions 524 to 776 of the family's 1533-position model. The record is from RNAcentral.
GACCGAGGAGGCGCGCGUUAUCCGGAGUUAUUGGGCGUAAAGGGGACGAAGGCGGCUGGACCAGUCCGGGGUUAAAGACCACAGCUUAACUGUGGGGGGGCCUUGGAAACUGACCGGCUGGAGUGGGGCAGGGGUUGCGGGAAUUCCCGGUGUCGCGGUGAAAUGCGUAGAUAUCGGGAAGAACACCUGAGGCGAAAGCGCGCAACUGGGCCCUAACUGACGCUGAGGUACGAAAGCUAGGGGAGCGAAUGGG